GACGAACGCUGGCGGCGUGCUUAACACAUGCAAGUCGAACGGAAAGGCCCUGCUUGCAGGGUACUCGAGUGUCGAACGGGUGAGUAACACGUGGGUGAUCUGCCCUGCACUUCGGGAUAAGCCUGGGAAACUGGGUCUAAUACCGGAUAGGAGCCAUUUUUAGUGUGGGGGGUGGAAAGUUUUUUCGGUGUAGGAUGAGCUCGCGGCCUAUCAGCUUGUUUGUGGGGUAAUGGCCUACCAAGGCGGCGACGGGUAGCCGGCCUGAGAGGGUGGACGGCCACAUUGGGACUGAGAUACGGCCCAGACUCCUACGGGAGGCAGCAGUGGGGAAUAUUGCACAAUGGGCGCAAGCCUGAUGCAGCGACGCCGCGUGGGGGAUGACGGCCUUCGGGUUGUAAACUCCUUUCGCUAGGGACGAAGCUUUUUGUGACGGUACCUAGAUAAGAAGCACCGGCUAACUACGUG
This 465-nucleotide ribosomal RNA is filed under the name uncultured bacterium. RNAcentral's name for it is "partial 16S ribosomal RNA". It matches the Rfam family "Bacterial small subunit ribosomal RNA", at positions 28 to 507 of the family's 1533-position model. The record is from RNAcentral.